GAGGGUAUAGCUCAAGUGAGAGCACAUGUUUAGCAUGCAUGAGGUCCUGGAUUCAAUCCCUAGUACCUCUU
This 71-nucleotide transfer RNA is filed under the name Camelus bactrianus (Bactrian camel). It matches the Rfam family "tRNA". From Rfam's summary of the family: Transfer RNA (tRNA) molecules are approximately 80 nucleotides in length. Their secondary structure includes four short double-helical elements and three loops (D, anti-codon, and T loops). RNAcentral also lists the same sequence under 2 other names. Lineage: Eukaryota; Metazoa; Chordata; Mammalia; Artiodactyla; Camelidae. The record is from Rfam by way of RNAcentral.